This 405-nucleotide ribosomal RNA is filed under the name Streptococcus mutans. Its description in RNAcentral is "bacterial SSU rRNA". It matches the Rfam family "Bacterial small subunit ribosomal RNA", at positions 28 to 415 of the family's 1533-position model. The record is from RNAcentral. Lineage: Bacteria; Bacillati; Bacillota; Bacilli; Lactobacillales; Streptococcaceae.
GACGAACGCCUGGCGGCGUGCCUAAUACAUGCAAGUGGGACGCAAGGGAACACACUGUGCUUGCACACCGUGUUUUCUUGAGUCGCGAACGGGUGAGUAACGCGUAGGUAACCUGCCUAUUAGCGGGGGAUAACUAUUGGAAACGAUAGCUAAUCCGCAUAAUAUUAAUUAUUGCAUGAUAAUUGAUUGAAAGAUGCAAGCGCAUCACUAGUAGAUGGACCUGCGUUGUAUUAGCUAGUUGGUAAGGUAAGAGCUUACCAAGGCGACGAUACAUAGCCGACCUGAGAGGGUGAUCGGCCACACUGGGACUGAGACACGGCCCAGACUCCUACGGGAGGCAGCAGUAGGGAAUCUUCGGCAAUGGACGAAAGUCUGACCGAGCAACGCCGCGUGAGUGAAGAAGGU